GGUUUUUUCAUGGAGAGUUUGAUCCUGGCUCAGGACGAACGCUGGCGGCGUGCUUAACACAUGCAAGUCGAACGGAAAGGCCCAGCUUGCUGGGUACUCGAGUGGCGAACGGGUGAGUAACACGUGGGUGAUCUGCCCUGCACUCUGGGAUAAGCCUGGGAAACUGGGUCUAAUACCGGAUAUGACCAAUUGUCGCAUGGUGGUUGGUGGAAAGCUUUUGCGGUGUGGGAUGGGCCCGCGGCCUAUCAGCUUGUUGGUGGGGUAAUGGCCUACCAAGGCGACGACGGGUAGCCGACCUGAGAGGGUGAUCGGCCACACUGGGACUGAGACACGGCCCAGACUCCUACGGGAGGCAGCAGUGGGGAAUAUUGCACAAUGGGCGCAAGCCUGAUGCAGCGACGCCGCGUGAGGGAUGACGGCCUUCGGGUUGUAAACCUCUUUCACCAGGGACGAAGCGAAAGUGACGGUACCUGGAGAAGAAGCACCGGCCAACUACGUGCCRGCAGCCGCGGUAAUACGUAGGGUGCGAGCGUUGUCCGGAAUUACUGGGCGUAAAGAGCUCGUAGGCGGUUUGUCGCGUCGUCUGUGAAAUUCUGCAACUCAAUUGCAGGCGUGCAGGCGAUACGGGCAGACUUGAGUACUACAGGGGAGACUGGAAUUCCUGGUGUAGCGGUGAAAUGCGCAGAUAUCAGGAGGAACACCGGUGGCGAAGGCGGGUCUCUGGGUAGUAACUGACGCUGAGGAGCGAAAGCGUGGG
This 757-nucleotide ribosomal RNA is filed under the name Gordonia sp. UCD-TK1. Its description in RNAcentral is "bacterial SSU rRNA". It matches the Rfam family "Bacterial small subunit ribosomal RNA", at positions 1 to 765 of the family's 1533-position model. Lineage: Bacteria; Bacillati; Actinomycetota; Actinomycetes; Mycobacteriales; Gordoniaceae. The record is from RNAcentral.